Long non-coding RNA from Hydra vulgaris (swiftwater hydra), 1080 nucleotides. RefSeq lists it as uncharacterized. The record is from RefSeq and is a predicted model, not a curated record. Lineage: Eukaryota; Metazoa; Cnidaria; Hydrozoa; Anthoathecata; Hydridae.
UGCAUUACAAAAGAAAAUGCUUUCAAAAGUACAAGCUCUUUUAACAGUCAUUUUGUCGAAUUUCAGAAAUUCCACGCAUAAAUAGUCUAAUGGGAGUUUGAGAUCAGUAAAAAAGGUAACAAAAAUCAAACAACCAACUACCAGUGUGGUCAAAUUUUAUCUUUUUUUAAAAGAUCUGGGUAUUGUUAAUUGCUACUUAGUAUAAGUGGUACCAGCAGGCAUUUUGUGAAAAAUGGCUAACAGACAGUGAACUAUAUGGUUGGAUAAAACCAGACUAAGUAUGGUACUUCAAUUUUUACCGUUAUAACAAUAUGAAGCUCAGUUUAUCCGCCAAUCAUUAGGAAAAAAAGUAGUCUGGUUCAUAAGGAUUAUUUAUUAUUCCUAAUUGAACCUUGAGUUCAAAUAAAACGUUGGUUUCCAUUGAAACAUAACAGUGUUCUGGUACACAUGCCCUUGUUGAAUCCAAAGCAAGCUCUUCUGAGCAAUAAAUCACACUAGCAGUAAAUUUCCAAAAUUUUGUUGCAAAAAAUCACUUGAAUUAAUUUUUUGAUAAACUAAGAGAUCUGGCAGCUUCCAAAAACGAUUAUAGACUUUUGAUCGGCAACUACGACGAAGAUCCUCCGCAUUCUUGUUGGUAAUACAAUAAGAAACAGAUGCUAGUAACCGGAAGAAACUUAAUAUUUUGUGUAACUUCAAGUGCAAUCUUUAAGCAUUGCCACUCGAAAACUAAACUAACUAACCAGCUUCUUGCAAAAUAGUUACAAAUUGAAUACUUACAAAGCAAGCUGUUGCUAAGAUGUUCGCGAUGGACGUCAAAGAUAUGCAUAUACUUUAAAAAUUCACUAGUAGCUUUUCAGGUUGUCGAUAUCUUCUUAUGCUCCUGACAAAGCAGAAGUUGAAGUUAUUGAUAUGGAUGCUGAGUGGCUAACAAAUAACAGUUAUAAUACAAUUUAAUUUCAGAAUAUAACAAUUAAUUCAAAAAUAUAUACAAUUGUUACAAAUUUUUAAUAACUGUUUGGUAAGUUAAUUAAGAUGUAAAGUUUUAGUUAAUUUAGUUCAAUACGGUAUACUUUUAGUUUA